AUAUAAUCAAAUGAAUUGAUGUCAAUCACCUCACUGCCUUGUUAAUUAGAACCUAAAAUGAUUGUACACCGAUACACUCUUGUAGUGAGUAAUUAAUGGAUGAAGGAAAUAAUUAAUUGGAUUAAUUAAGUGUUGUGAUUAAUUUAGAAAGUCUAAAGAAAUCAUGAAAGCAAUAAAAGAUCGUUUUGGGCUUAAAGAAACGUUCGGGUUUAAUUGGGCCCAUUGGGCCUAAACCCAUUGGGCUUUUAUUCCAGCAUAGGAUGACUUGAAAUAAUAAAAGCCCAAAGCCCAAACCAAACACUAAAGGGCCGGCCACUUAAAGGGUUUGGGAGAGAUAUUUAGUCAAGUUGUUGACUAGGUUUCUUUUUGUCUAUAUAAGGAACUUUAUAGCACAAAGUUCAUUAGGGUUUUUUGUGUGUUUUUGAACAACAAAGAGGCAAAAUAAAAUAGCUCU
This 454-nucleotide long non-coding RNA is filed under the name Malus domestica (apple). RNAcentral's name for it is "long non-coding RNA (MDOM_LNC018775)". The record is from RNAcentral. Lineage: Eukaryota; Viridiplantae; Streptophyta; Magnoliopsida; Rosales; Rosaceae.